Molecule: ribosomal RNA, 253 nt
Filed under: uncultured bacterium
Lineage: Bacteria
Description: partial 16S ribosomal RNA
Rfam family: Bacterial small subunit ribosomal RNA
Source: RNAcentral
UACGAAGGGGGCGAGCGUUGUUCGGAUUUACUGGGCGCAAAGGGCGCGCAGGCGGCGCAUUUUGUCAGGCGUGAAAGCCCCGGGCUUAACCUGGGAACUGCGUUUGAUACGGAUGGGCUAGAGUUCGGGAGAGGAGAGUGGAAUUCCUGGUGUAGCGGUGAAAUGCGCAGAUAUCAGGAGGAACACCGGUGGCGAAGGCGGGACUCUGGGCCGAUACUGACGCUGAGGAGCGAAAGCGUGGGGAGCGAACAGG